AGCUACAGGCUUAACACAGUGCAAGUCGAGGGGUAACAGGAGAGAAGCUUGCUUUCUUGCUGACGACCGGCGCACGGGUGAGUAACGCGUAUCCAACUUCCCCUUAGUAGCGGAUAGCCCGGCGAAAGUCGGAUUAAUACGCUAUGCUCUUCGUUGAUGGCAUCUGAUGUGAAGCAAAGAUUAAUCGCUAAGGGAUGGGGAUGCGUCUGAUUAGGUAGUCGGCGGGGUAACGGCCCACCGAGCCAUCGAUCAGUAGGGGUUCUGAGAGGAAGGUCCCCCCACACUGGUACUGAGACACGGACCAGACUCCUACGGGAGGCAGCAGUGAGGAAUAUUGGUCAAUGGGCGCGAGCCUGAACCAGCCAAGUAGCGUGCAGGAUUGACUGCCCUAUGGGUUGUAAACUGCUUUUAUCAGGGAAUAAAGUGAGGCACGUGUGCCUUUUUGUAUGUACCUGAUGAAUAAGGACCGGCUAAUUCCGUGCCAGCAGCCGC
Molecule: ribosomal RNA, 492 nt
Filed under: uncultured bacterium
Lineage: Bacteria
Description: bacterial SSU rRNA
Rfam family: Bacterial small subunit ribosomal RNA
Source: RNAcentral